UACGAAGGGGGCUAGCGUUGCUCGGAAUCACUGGGCGUAAAGCGCACGUAGGCGGCUUUUUAAGUCAGGGGUGAAAUCCUGGAGCUCAACUCCAGAACUGCCUUUGAUACUGGGAAGCUUGAGUCCGGGAGAGGUGAGUGGAACUCCGAGUGUAGAGGUGAAAUUCGUAGAUAUUCGGAAGAACACCAGUGGCGAAGGCGGCUCACUGGCCCGUUACUGACGCUGAGGCGCGAAAGCGUGGGGAGCAAACAGG
Molecule: ribosomal RNA, 253 nt
Filed under: uncultured bacterium
Lineage: Bacteria
Description: partial 16S ribosomal RNA
Rfam family: Bacterial small subunit ribosomal RNA
Source: RNAcentral